Long non-coding RNA from Oxyura jamaicensis (ruddy duck), 2380 nucleotides. RefSeq lists it as uncharacterized. Lineage: Eukaryota; Metazoa; Chordata; Aves; Anseriformes; Anatidae. The transcript is spliced from 2 exons. The record is from RefSeq and is a predicted model, not a curated record.
UUUGCCAGGACAGUCAGUCAGAAGACAUUGGACGUUUUGGGGUUUCCAGUCUCUGCUCAGAGGUGUCCCUUUCUGUCUGCCUCCUGUGUGAGGGAAACUGAAAUCCGCAGCCAAGCCUCUGGUCAAAAGUCAUGAGGCAAAUAAAAUCCCAUGUGAAAAUAGUCUCUUGAAAGAAUAUGUUGUGUGUUGUUUGGUUUUAGAGCCUGCCAUUUUCAUCUUUGAUACUUUCAAACUUUUAUCCAAAACGCAGAGCAAAAUACGUGUUUUCAUUAGUGGAAGCUGAGAUUAACAUCUAAUCAUCUGCUUUCAGAAGCCAAGGUCUUAAGAACACUGAAUAUUUCCAAUUAGUGAUAAAAAGAGAAGUUUGGACAAUAGCUUUCUUUGGAGUGCAGCUUUGAAGAAGUCUGACUGGGGGAAAACGCCUCAAGACCAGUGUAGCAGUUUGUGAAGAGACAAAAUACUUGAAAAGGAUGAAACUACAAAAAACAAGACUGCAUGGAGGCAGUUGAAGUAGAUACCAUAGCUUGCUCCUGUUUAUAGGUCUCAGAAGCUAUUUGACUGGUAACAGCUGAAGCACACUUAAAUCAGAGGGAGAGGCUGGAAAAAGCUUUGUCACACAGAGUUCUGCCCAGGUGUGGCUGUAGGAUUACAUUCGACAUUGGUCUUCCAGAGAGAGAGGAGUGUUCUGGUUUUGUAUUUCUUAGUUCACCAGCCACUGCUGGAGAAUGCAUUGCUUGUGUUUUAGCCACUUCAGCACAGCUGUUAUCUCUUCUCAUCUCCAUUGCUCUGUCUAUUCUUCAUUCUUGAGGUCAUCUUUCUCAUUCCUCACUCUCCAGUUGCCAUGAUUGAGUCUAUAAUUCAAUGGUGUGGGGUAAGGUUGCAGGAACAGCACCCAGAGCAGCAUAGAGCCUGUGGAGAUGCCUUACAAAGCAAACUAAGGAGCAAUAUGCUUUUUUUCAAGAAGUGCCUGGAGAGCCUGGCCUUCCCUCAUCAGUCACCGCUUUGAUCACCUGCGUGUAGCCUGCUGCUCCCACACACCAACUCCUGUGCUAUGUCAGUCACAUUGGAGGAGUUGGAAGGAAGAAAGAUGCUGAUGAGUCUGUGAAGAGCACAUCUGUGAUGACAGAAGAAGAAUCCCUGUACUGUAGCUAUAAGCAGCUCUAUAUACCUAUCUGUGGUGGGAAAGGCUCCUGCAGAGCAGCAAUAUAUCCCACUCAUUUCAAUUAAAUAUUCUAAGGGAGUUAAGAGCGGUGUUUGGAGUUGAACCUAAAAUACCACUUUUAAGAGGUACAUAUUGCUGCGUUAAUCACAGUGAAAGUUCUUACACCCCCCACCCUGCCUCAUUUCCUUCCCUGGGGGAGGAAAUAUCCCAGCAGAAACACAAAGAACAGGAGGAAGAAACUCAGUGUUGGAAUGGUACAGGCCUUUGGCUUCUGUGCCAGGGGAAGCUGUGACACGACAUUUGAAAGUUUCUCAGGAUCCCAGCUGACAUGAAAGUGUAGGAGAAUGAUUCAGAGACCCUGGUGUGGAGAGCGUGCCUCAGCCAGAUCCUAGCCCACAUGUGGAAAGUUCCUGGAGCAGUUCCUGCUCCUUUCUUUCCUCUUCAUCACCAAGAGGGUAUCCUGAGACAGGUCUGUGGCUUAGCAGACCUUCCUCUGUAUAACACAGAAAGGAAAAAGAGAACUGGGAAAGGGACAAUGACACCAUGCUUGGGAGAUGUUUCAGUAGUUGAGCACUGAUUUGGAACCUUCUAUUUCAUGCUUUCAUGAGAGCCAACUAAUUUAAUGCAGUCCAAAUAAGCAUACUUCUAUUGAGCAAUCUGGCAAAUCAAUGGUUAAAUACAACGCAUCUCACUUGUGUCAGAAGACAUUAUUAUAAUAGAAGUAUGCAUUUAUCAUACCUAGACAACUUCAGAGUUUCCCAAAAGUAGAGAAGAGAUGUAACAGUUCAGCAAUGAAAACUGACAAAUUUGUAAACACUCACAAGAAAAAAAAAAAAAAAAAAAAGGCAACCUUAAAUACAGCUGUGAUGAUAUCAACCACGUUACUGAAGUACAGUACGUUUUGCUUUAGAGGAUGGGGCAGGAAGUCCAGAUCUGAAUAAUAGGAAGGAACUCUUUCAUUAAGGGGCUGGUUUUUUGAUGGUAAUCAUAUGAAGCUGCUUAGGCAGAGCUGAAAUACUACAAAAUAGAGAAAAUCAUGGAGAGAUGGGUUAGUGGUCAAAGUUGCACUAUGAGCAUAAGGAACCGUUUGAUUCCUCUUGUCAGAUGCAUGUGUGUAAACAUAGGGUCAUAGAAUGGAUUGGGUUGGAAGGCAGCUACCUUAAAGAUCACCUAGUUUCAACCCCCUGUGUCUUACCACCACCACCACUGUACACACAG